Molecule: ribosomal RNA, 253 nt
Filed under: uncultured bacterium
Lineage: Bacteria
Description: partial 16S ribosomal RNA
Rfam family: Bacterial small subunit ribosomal RNA
Source: RNAcentral
UACGUAGGUGGCAAGCGUUGCUCGGAAUCACUGGGCGUAAAGGGCGCGUAGGCGGCCCGCUAAGUCGAACGUGAAAUCCCCGAGCUCAACUCGGGAACUGCGUCCGAUACUGGCGGGCUUGAAUCCGGGAGAGGGAUGCGGAAUUCCAGGUGUAGCGGUGAAAUGCGUAGAUAUCUGGAGGAACACCGGUGGCGAAGGCGGCAUCCUGGACCGGUAUUGACGCUGAGGCGCGAAAGCUAGGGGAGCAAACGGG